AAAUGACAUUUUUUUCUUAUCUUUGCUAUUAAAAUACUAAUAUCACAUCUUAUAAAUUUGCUCGAGGAAAAAUGGAUAAAUAAAUAUAUUUUAAAUUGUCAUUUUAUUUUUUUUUCUAAAAUUAAUAUAUAUAUAAAAUUGAUUUAGAAGAAUUAGAUUAAUUAACUUAUUAAUUUGAGUGAUUUACUCUUUACUUUUCAGCCUAAACAACAUUCCAAACGAAAAACCUAUGACUAUCCCACCAACCCAACCCAACAUCCCACCUUUAAAACAGUUAAACUAGCCGACUCAACACCCCUAAAUAUCUUUCUUAUUCACAGACAUAGAUAUUUGCCAUUCUCUCUUCUCUACAAACGCCAAAUCGCUCAGACCAUUGGAUAAUAGCAAUUCUAAUGGUGUUCCACCUUCUCCGUCACCUUUCAACCCACAUACAUCAAUCCCAUGUCUUUUCCAUCAACUUUAUAUCUCUUCUAUCCUUUUUUAUCAAAUCAAAGCUGCAAAAACUUCCAUCCACCACUGUUGUCCCUGAAAAGGUAAAGAACAAGAAGGAUCACUAUGUUUAGGAGCGUUAACCCCUUAAUUCUAUGAGAAAAGGAAGCAUUCAAAUUGUCAGUUUCUCCCUUUUACAUCGACUAAAAAAAUAAUCUUUUCUCUAUCUCUAAUUUUUCUCUGUGAUUUGGGUCCUUUCCAAGAAUUCAAAUCUGAAUUCUUGAGUCCUCACUCGAGGACCGUUGGAACCCCCCUAAAAUUUUUUAUAAAAGGAGUCUUUGGGCUCCCAUUUUGCAUCAACUAGAGUAGGGUUCAAGAAUCAUCAAUUAUCAAAUUAACAUUAAACAUCAAGAAGCUCAUAUUUUUAUUUUCUCUUUAUUUUUCUUACUCUAUUCUCGAGUUUGAGUUCAAGUUCGAGUUCGAAUCUUCGACGGAAAACCCAAGUUCGCUGCUCCACAAAAGGUCAUUAAUCACAUUCACCUUUCGUUUCGGUUUCUAGAAAUAAAAAUGUAGUCGUUCAAUAGUCUUUUUGCUUUGUCGAAAUUCUACCUCUUUGUAUGUGUUGGUUUUUUACUGUUUCCUGUAGUUUCAAUUUGUAAAAAAAAAUGGUUAACAAUAACUGAUAACAUUUAGAGAAACUACUUUGGUGAAUAAGUAUGUCGUUUAUGUCAUUAUGUUCUGGAAUCCAUCGAAACCGGUUAUGCUUGUUCUUGUUCCAAAAUCUAUGUCAAGAGGUUUUAAAAAAUAAACUUGAACGUUUAGGUAGAUGGAAUCACUUUGCUAUGCUUUGAGGAUUUGUGUGUGAAUAAAAGGCUCUUUUACUAGCUUACUCAUCUCCAUCUCAGGUUCAGCACAUCUGAAAAUCAGUUUAUAUUCAGCUUAUUUGAAAGUCAUUACUGGACGAUUUCGUUAAUCCAAAAUUGGCUAAGUAUUUGAUCUAAGUUUUAGCUAUGUCAAAAAUGUGAAGUUUUAAGUCUAUAUUUGAUUGUAAUGUUCUAUUUAGAAUUCUUAAAAUUGUCUAAGACACAUUUUUGGGAUAAUUUGCCUCCCUCAUUUUAGCAUAGCAGUGGCAUAUAAUUUGGUGGAACCGAGGAUUUUUACUUGUUUUGUUUGUUAAUAAGUGUAUAUGUAAGUAGAACCAAAAUAUUAACUCGAUAAUCUCUUUUUUCCUCAUGAUUACAAAUAAUAAGUUGUGUGCAGUAGGUUUCUUCCUAUUAUUGUUGUUAUGUACUUAAAUAUCCUGCCGUCUGAAUUGAGUGUGUUGUCCCUCAUAACCAAGAGGCUCACGAAGUGAGCAAUUAAGAAUUCUUUUUGAUAGUAAACUAGAAACUACGUGAGAUCGUGAACUGUAUAUGCUAUCUGAUGAUUAGAUUUUAGUUUGGUAAUCUACAUUGUCACCAUGACUGAAUAUCAAAGUUAGAACUCAUAUGCGUUUUAGCUUGCCUUAAUGAUUCUUAGUGAUUUUGUUCUUGCAGUAACCAGUGUUUUCGAUCCAUGAAUCAUGUUUAAGCUCAUGUGUUGAUGCCUAAAAUCUAUUUCUGAUAAUUAACUCAUUCUUUUCAUCUUUAUAGUUUAUAUAACAUGCUCAUAGAGGAUUGUUUAAAAGGUCGUUAGUCAUACUGUUUGGAUGUUACUUCAUUAAUCUUUAGUUGCAUACUUGAACCAUUUUUCCAGAUGUUCAUUAGUCCCCCAUGUAAAAGUGUUUUGUUUAGACUUUUUGACUAAUGGGUUUGUUUCAAAUAUUUUCUUUGUUCUUACAUAUAGUAAGUAGAGAUGAGUAUACCUUAGGACACGUCAAAUUCUUGACCUCGUCCAAAAUGUGUGUCUAAGCACGGUAUAAAGAGCUUCUUUUUGGGAUUUUUUUUGUUGACAGUGAAUUUCUAAUUUUUUUUACUUUUUUUAUGUGUAAACAUUUGUUUAAAAACCAGAUUUCGAGUUCAUGCAAGUUCAUAUAUAUAGCUAUCGUGGUUAAGAAGUAUUUAUGCUAAAAAUAUAAACAGCAUAUUUUCUAUAGAAAUCAUGUUGUUAGGAAUUCUUUUGGUAUUACAUUGACUAAAUAAUUCAGAGUAUUUAGGUGGGUUUGCUGGUAAUGAGAAAGACACCAAGUAUUGGUCGUACUUAAUCUCCGGUGUUUGCUCGACUUAUAUCUUUAAUAUUCUUGUUGGAGAGCAAUAUUUAGUAUGUUCUUAGUUGUUUAUUAUACCUUGAACUGCUAAAUGGGUGCUUCUUUUUCUAAACUACUGUCAGGGUAUUUAUCAUAUUUGUUGGAAGCUAUGAACCGUUCUAUGUCUACAUGAUAUAUAGAAGUCAUGUUGAUCAAGUUAUACUUCUCCAAGCAAUCUUUGUUCUGUUUUAUUUUUUUUUGGAGAACAUGACGUUAGGAAAGUAAACUGUCAAUAGUGUUUUUCCAUUGGCUGAUUAUCAAGUUUCAAGUAUGAUUACGUAAACUAGUUUUCUUAUAAGAGAACAUGAUAAAAUUAAUCAAUGGGUUCUUUUUAAAACUUUAUAAGCCGCAUAGGUAUGGCUGAGUGAUUUAUAUUUUGCCCAAAUGAGAAUUUAGUUUAUGACCAUCAACUUGUGUUGUAUAUUGUCAGGAUCUUAAUUAUACACAUACUUCUGAUCCUGUUCUUUCUUACUUCAUAUGUACGCUUGGAAGAGCGCUUGGGGCCUCAUGGCUCGAUCCAUCUAUCCUAAUUAGAGAAGUGAUCAAAUAUCACAUUACAUAUUGAAGUGAUCAAAUAUCACAUUACAUAUUUUCUUCUAGCAAAAACUUUCCCUCUCAUUCAACUUUAUUCUUCUUUUGUAGAUGAUUAUUAUUAUUUUUGCUUAAUAUUUCACAGAUUAUUAUUUGAAUUUUGUGUUUUAUAUGUUCUUUUAAUUGGUAGGAGUCCUGAAAUUUUAGCAAAUAUAAUUGCUUCCUUUCUACCUCUUAAAUUUUUUUCUAAGCAUAAUCACUAGGCUUCGACAUUUAAUUUACAUUAUCAAAAGUUUUAAAAUUUUGUACGUUAAAACAUACAUUUUAGAAUAAAUGGCCUUAUCUGUAGAAUUAAAAUUAGUUUCUCAUUAGUUACUAAUGUCGAAUUAAUAAAAUAUAGAUUUUUGCAGUAGGCGAAUAUUUCAUUGCUAGACUCGAAAAUCGGCUUUAAUAAUUUUAGAUAUGGUAAAUCAACUCCAUUUUUCAUCAAUUUCAAAUAAAAUAUGGCAGCUUUGCUAAACCGACUUAGCAAGGCCCUUUUUUAGGAUCUUAAAUUAUCAAAAAAUAUUUUAUUUAUUUAUUUAUUUUAGCUGUAUCGUAAUAAAUAAUAAAUUCUCAAGUUAUUGUAGAUUUAAACUGUAGGAACCCUUGGGCAUUGAACCACACAGUGAGAAACCAGGUCCCUCAAAAUCAAUCACAGGCCAAGUACACAAACAUAACCGGGAAGUAAGAGACACUGCAUGAAGUGUAAAAACACAAAAUUUUAUGUGGAAAUCCAGGAAGGGAAAAACCACGACUUGCCUUCACAAGCACCUCAAAAUUCACUAUAAUCAAACUCUUGAUUAUAGUCUUGAUUUCAGCCUAACUCUAGGCUUCUUUUGCUUAUAGUAACUCUACUACAAGCUCAUCUUGACAACUUUACCAAGGAUCCUCUACACUAAUUAGCUCUAAUGAGUAUCGAACUUAAGCAACUCUACCCAAACACUCUCUACUCAAAAAGACAUUACUCGUAUAACAUGAAUAAUUCAUUUACAAAUCAGAACUCACUCAAGAACAAUUUCUAUUUAAGCUCACAUAAGCAGCUAAGAACUUGAGUAGUGUUGAAAUGGGUUUUGCUGCCUCUUUUCACUCUUUGUGUUUGCCAAAAAUCAUUUGAUGAAGAGGUGUCUCUUUUCUUUUAUAUCUGAGUGAUGAUUAGGGCUGAAAGAUCAUUGGACCAGCUGUCUUAAUCAGUAUAAAAUAACGCUUGCAAGUUUGUUACACAAGAGGACAAAACUAUGUAGACAAUGUGUGCCAGCUGUACUAUACCUUGCACAUCCAAGGACCUGGUCCCUUGCAGUUAGCUGCUCAUCAUCAAAACUACAUAUAGUAAUUUUUCCCUUUUUUGAUGAUGAAAAACCAACCAUACAGUUUUGAGCCUCAAUGCACAUUCAUCACAUUUAAUCAAUGUGAUUACCACUUGAAGAUGAAUAUUCCCCCUAUCAUCAUGCUUCCUCCAUCAUCAUGCAACAUAGGGACCUGGUCCUUUGUUGUCAUUUGCAACAAAAACCUCUGAUUUCCUCCCUUUGUCAUCAUGCACCUUCAUUUAGUGCAUUUGCACACUUUUCUUGGUUAAUAUGACUCCCUUCAUUCAUCUAUUCAGCAUAUCACAUACUUCUCCCUAUUAGCAUUCCAUUCAAAUCCGCAACUUAAAUUACCUGGUACCUGGUCUCUACUACAUGAACUCAGUUACUACACGAACUAAGUAUUCCCCCUUUUGGCAUUAUUGAAAAAGAUUAACAGUAAACUAAGAGUAAAAAUAAGUGCAAUCUAAUUAACUCAUGGCUACUGGGGCAGCACUAACAAGAAUGAACAACUUUAAAUUGGGACAAAUGAGGCACACAAGCAAAAUUCAUUCAUUUUACAACCAGAAGUCAGUACCAGUAUAGUUAUGCCAUAUUAACAGAUAAAAUAAACUGUCUUCAAGAGCCAAUAUAAGAAUCAAAAUAUGAGACUGACAUAAAAUUGAUUAAAAGACAGGGAUAACAAGGCUUAGGUAAGAGGGGGUUUGGAAGAAAGAGACUUAAGCAGCAUCUCCAUUCUUUUAAUUUCAGCCUUGUGGGCAUUCAAAAAUUGUUUGGUGAGAACCUUACUUCAGUAUUUAGUUUUGAACUUCACCAGUCAGUUAUGUCACUUUUUCCUAAAGUCUUGUAAUUUCAGUUGUAAUUUCAUCAAUGGCACCUGAUUCCUUAGAAGACAAUUUAUGAUUCUGCAACUUCAGGUGCACUAUUUUAAUAUCUUUUACAGCCAACAUGAUUCUUAACUCUUCCACUUUUAUUCCCAACAUCUCUUGAAUAGCUAGCAACUCAGAUACUUGAGAAACUGAUCAUAAGAGUUGUUAGACUGAACAUUUGCUUAGUUGUUCCAGGUGUUUCCUUAGUUCCAUCCAAACCAGAAUGCUCAAACACCUUAUUCAGAAUACAUCCACAUGACAUUCCAUGUUUGCCUUUUUUCAUGAACCACUUUAUGCAUAUGCUUUAUCAUUAGAGUAGAAAGACUUAUCAAUUCAAACAUGCUCAAGGAUUCAAUCAAAAACUAGUCAACACUAGAGGUAAUUAUUCCUUUUUUUUUUUACCUUGGCAACAGGACCUUAUUGAUGAACUUAAAUAGCAGCUGAUACUCACUUUUUAGAAACUUUCUUUUCACUGCAGAUGUUGAGGUCCCUCUUAUCUUGAUGCCUCAAUCAUGAAUUCAGUAGUAUCCUGUUGAUUUACUACACUCCUUGCCCCUAUAAUAGGUAUAUCUAGGAUUCCUCCUAGUUUUUUUUCAUCCAACUGAAGAUACGUUCCUUGUACUUGUGCACUCAAUCUUAAACAAUCAUCUGAGAAUUCCAUGGAGUGGUAUAAUUCUCUCACCUCACCUUCAAAGACAAUGGGAGUUGAUUCUAUUUGUAGGUCAAACCAACCCUGAUGCCUCACAUACUUUACCAGUUCUUCCGUUCCUAAUUUUUCAUAAAUUUUUGGAUAAACACUCUCCCAGAAAGAACCUUCUGUGUUCUCAUGUUCCCAAUAUAUCAUUCUCUGUAUAUGUCUUUUUUUUUUCUCAUUCUAUUUCUUUCUUUUGGGCUCACUACUUGGCUCUCCUUUUUCAUUAGAUUUUUUCUUCUUGGGACCAGGUCUCUCAGAGUCUUUUCUUUUCUUGACAGAUAUAUGUUUCUUCCUUAUUUCAAUAAGAUUAUAAGACUUUGACUUAGAGGACCUAAGGUGAAGUUUUCUAUGGCUUUGGUUGCUGAAGGAUUAAGAUAUUCGAUGAGGGCAUAAUCAAUUUGAUUUUUUGGAGUUUUAUCAACUUCAGGGUUCUUAGAUGGGUUUAAGGAAGCAGCAAUGUCAGUUAUUUGGUUUUGUGAGUGAAAGAGAGUGAGCUAGAACCAGCUAGGCUUUUAGAUUUGGGAAGAUGAUAUGGACUUAGUUGAAGAAGGUUUGAUUUAGCAAUUUUAAGUGAUGACCAAUGUCAUAAAAAGAUGUUUCUUUUAAACUGACACAUCUGAUCCUACUAAAUAUAAUUUCUUCAUUUUGCAAAUAAACUGACUAAUUAUUACAGAGAAAUAAAGACGCGUGGCCCUUUUCAGAUAGUAUUUUAUGUUCAUUAAGGCAUCCAGUAUAGGUGCUAACCUGAGAUGGGACUAGGUCCCUCUUUUUUUGGGUGAAUUUUCAAAUUUGUGUUUUCCAAGAUUGUCCACUUCCAAAGUUGCAAAGGUAUAAUAUUGAGUUAUACCAAUAUGCACCUAUUUUACUUAGGAUACCUGCUUCCUAAUCAUAGCUAAAUUUUUUGGGAUGACACGGAUUUCCAUGAUAUUCAUUCUGCUGAAGCUUCUUCUUCUGAGAUGGAUUUACUAAGUACCAAGUCCCUUGAAAUCAUCUAUUUCAAAAUGAGAUACCUCCAUCUUAAAGUGUCUUGAAAGAGAGAACACAUUUGGACCUUCCAUCAUCGAGCUUUGAACCUUUUAAAUAAAUGAAUUAUCCCUGACUGCAAUCUCCUUUCUCAUACCUAAAAUCCUGAUCACAUGUUUGAUUUGGGAACCCACUUGAGUUUGAGUUCCUAGUAAGAAGACAAUGGUGCGAUCAAAACUUUCUUGGUCCAUCUAGGUAGAGAAUUUUUCUUCAUCUUAUUCAAAUACUUAAACCCAUUUAGCUGUGUAUUCUCCUGUUGACCAUAUCUGAAUUUGUUUAUUUCAGUAGUUAUCCAACUUAGAAAAUUUUCCAUGGUGUGCCUAUAUUCCCUAUAAUGAUUGCACAUGGGUUUGGGAGGCUUGUUUCUGGCAUCAUCGAUAGUCUCUUCUUGCCACCUUGUAGGUUGGAAUUCUCUUUAGUAUCCUAGUCCUUUGUUAUCAUUAACAUCGUGAAUAGUCAGAUUAUAAAAAAAACUGUGAAGAAGCAUUCUAUUUAAAAAAUUUAUUCAAUUCUUCUUUUAAGCGGACCAGAUCCCUCUCUAACUCUUUAUUCCUGUGAAGUGCAGACAUAAGGUGUUUUUGAGAAUCCCUUAGCCUUUCCUCAAGAUUAAUUUAAAACCUUGAAUUCUUUCUUCCCUUUUUCAUCUACCUUAUUUACCUUCUUCAGAUUACUUAUUAAGCUCAAAUUUUUAUAUUUUAUUUUUGUGAAUAACUCUUUAGUUUCAGAAUUUUGUAAAGCAAAAGCAAUCAACUCAUGCUCUUGAUUCUCUACUUUUUCUUUCAUGGUAUUCUUCUUAACAACCAUUUCACAUAGAGAGUCAAUUAAGACACUAGAAAACCUUUUUAUCUUUCUAGCAGUGUAAUUAUCUAGAUUCUCCUUAGUAUAAAAAAGAGUUACCUUCUUUUCUUAUUCAUCUUCUGUGUUUGCCAUGAAUGCAAAUAGCGAAUCAUAGAUAACUGGACUAUUUUCCACUGCUACCAUGGAAACAUCUUUAGUCUUUUCAUCUUUACCUAAUUACUGGAAGAGUCUAUGCUACUAGAGUUUGCUUUACAGCAUAUUCAGCUGCUGCCUUUCUUCUUGAAUUAUCAGGGACCUGGUCCCUGUUCUUUCCUUUGUCAUCAAUAGUCAUGAAGUAAUCCUGAUAAUCCAUUUUGUGUAUAGGACAGUCCAUAAUGAAAUGCUCAGCACUUCCAUAUUUGUGAAAAUCCUCAACAUUGCCUUCUAUUUUGGUGUUGCUUCCUCUCCUUUGGAACUGAUCACCCUUCUUUAUAACACUAAUAAUUCAUUUUUCCAAAUAGAUAACCCCAGUUUUAUCUUUAUCUAGAUCAUGUUUGGAAGCUUUUAAUACCAGGGAUUUUCCCAUUUUUGCAUCAUUCUUCUCUAUCCGUUGAUGCUUCUUGAUAUCAUGGGUUUUUAAAUUUCCAAUCAACUUAUCCAUGGUGAGGGUCUUUAGAUUUUUGGCUUCAGUUAUGGCAUCUACUUUGCUUUCCCAGGACUUGGGAAGAACAACAAGAUUUUUUCUCACUUGCUUAUACAAUGGAAUCACUUAUCCCAGGCAAUAAAGCUCAUUAGUGAUAAAAGUGAAUCUUGUAUGCAUUUCUUAGAUUGUUUCUCCUUCUUUCAUGGAGAAGGUUUCACACUAAGUAGUCAACAUGUCUAUUUUAGAAUUCUUCACAUCUGUAAUAAGACAUUUCAUCGUUGCUAAAUUAUUCAUAAUAAAUUCAUGAAAAUUCUUUAUUUUCAUUCCUUAGUAUUAACUUGGGCCCAAAAUAGCCAAUUUUUUAUUUAUUACAUCACCUCAAACUCUUCAACAAAGAUUUUAGCCUUCGAAUGUGUCUAGAUAGACUCAAACUCAAUGAAUUUAAUUAUUUAUGAGUUAUAAUAUCAAUACUUUAAUUGUAAAGUACUUUCGGUAUGAAUUAAGGUCUUACAAUAUCCCUAACACAAAGUUAAGUAUAAAACCUUAUUUUCGAUAUAGUUUCAAUAUGUGUUUCUAUUAGGGCAACUUAAAACAAUAAUAUCUCAUAGAAUAUAAGGAUUUACGGGUCCCAAUACCUAUAAAAUCAAAGAUCUCUGAGUUCUCUUUCCAAUGCAAUAAAUCGUUCCUCAAUCUGAACUUGGAGUAAAACGUUAUGACUGUUUUACUGAGCACUGUCCGGUUUGAAAUGGGAUUUUGUUGUAGUGAAAAUUCUAAUUGUAUUUAAAUCAGCUUCAGCUGUAUUUUAGGUCUAAAAAUCCCAAAUUUUAUUUCCUAACCCUAGAGAAGUGAUUAACCAAAGCUUAGGGUGAAAUUGCUUCAUUGGGGUAAGUUUUUCCAUUAUUUUCUUUGACUUUUAAUCCUUUAAUAUUUUAGAAUCCAUAGAAUGACCUUUAAUGGUGGAAUUCUUUUGGGGAAUACUCAUAGGUAUUUUUAAUAUGACCUAGAGCUGAUUCUAAACUAUAAAUUAAAGAUUUCUAACAUGAAUUUCAUAAACUAGAUUAUGAAUUUUGAUGGUUAGGAACUCUAAAUUUCAUAAAGAUGAGACCUUUAGUAUAAAAACUCCAUUAUGGAGAUGAGUUAAGCUUGAAAGAGAUAAUUAAUGAUUAAUUGAAUUUGGAGGAUGAUACAGACCUUGAAUUAAGGGUAGAAUUAGCGGGUUUGAAUCCCCAAGAUAUUUUAUUGAAGAGUAAUUACUUAUUACUCUUAUAAUUGCUUGAUUUUUAGAUGAUUGAUUAUUCCAAGGCAUGAAGGAAAGGAGAGAGUAUCUUUGUUGCAGCUUGUUUCUUUCAAAAGCUUGACAUCCAGGUAGGCUAGGUUUAAUGAGCAGAAGAUUGUGUUAAUUUAUAUUUUCAUAACUUAGAAUUGAUGCGAGAAAGCAUAUCUAGGCCUGUGGGCAUGGAGUUGAGGUGGAUUAAGACAUAAGAAUUUAACUUUAAUCCCUAAAACUAUAUUAUUGAUUAAUUAUGUAAUAAUUGUGAUAUUAUGUGCUAAGUCCCCGCUAGGAGAUUGUUGUAAAUGAAGUAUGUGGACAUGAUAGUUCUUAGUUGUUCUAGUUAUGAACCUAGUUGAGUUAUAAUGAUCUUAAGUUUCAUGUAUUAGACAAUAAUAUGAUGAGGAGAAUCAUGAUAGGAUCAAGUAUUAAUGGGCAUAAUAAUAUCUAAAGGAUAGAUGAGUUGAAAAAGUGUAAUGAUUGUAUUAUAUGGAAAAAGGCAGUGACAUUUUAAUAAUUAAUGAGUAAGUAAUGCUCUAAUAGUGACUUGCAUGCUUAAGUGGUGAAUUGUGACUUAUUUUGUGAUAUUCUUGUUUUGGUAUUGAUUAAAGAACAUUAUCUAUUGGAUGUCCAUGAGAGGCUAAAUUGGUGAUAUGACGAUUUAUUGAAUUGUGCCUAUGAGAGGCUUGUUUGAUAAUGAUAACUCCUUGAAUUAAUGUCAUGAUUGACUUGUUGAUGAUCGUGAUGCAUUAUUGAAAUAAUACCUGUGAGAGGGUAAAAAUAUUGAUAAAUGAAAGCACUUGAUCGAAUUUCCUUAUGAUUUUAAAUACAUUUAUAAAUUUAGUACGUCGUAUUGCAUCCCGAAUGAUAGUGUGAAUUUAAUAAAAUAUAGACAGUAGGUUGCGAUUUAAUUGGAGUUUAGACUCGAUUUAAUUGUGUGUAUGCUCCUAAUUUGUAUACUUGUUGAUUAGUAGUCGUACAUGCUUGAAAUUAUUGAUGUUUGGAUUGUUGAUGCGUGUAUAAAUAAUUAUUGAUAAAUAAUUAUUGAAAAUUUACUUAAUGAAAUUGUCUUAUGACCUUAAGUGUACUUGUAAACUCGGAACAUCAUGUUGUAUGUUGUGAGAUAGUAAAAAUUUGAUAUUGAUAUUGCCUGUUUAUGGUGGAUCGAGUACCACGCCAGUACGGAUAUGUGUAUGUUAUAUCGGGUACCACGCCGGUACGGAUAUGUGUAUGUUGGAUUGGGUAUCAUACUGGUACGAAUAUGUAUAUAUAUAUUGGAUCAGGUACCACGCCGGUACGAAUAUGUGUAUAUUGGAUCAGGUACCACGCCAGCACAAAUAUGUAUAUGUUAGAUCAAAUAUGUAUAUGUUGGAUCGGGUACCAUGUCGACAUGGAUAUGUGUAUGUUGGAUCGGGUACCACGCUGGUAUGGAUAUGUAUAUAUAUUGGAUCGGGUACCACGCCGGUACAAAUAUGUGUGUGUUGGAUCGGGUACUACGCCGGUACGAAUAUGUGUGUGUUGAAUCGGGUACCACGCCGGUAUAGAUAUGUAUAUGUUGGAUUGGGUACCACGCCGGUACGGAUAUGUAUAUGUUGGAUCGGGUACCACGCCGGUAUGGAUAUGUAUAUGUUGGAUCGGGUACCACGCUGGUACGGUACAUGAACAUAGAUUGUUCCGUGCAGGUCAUGACUAUUUGGGCAAAAAUAAGUCCCAUAGCAUGUGUGGACAUAUUUGUGUUGAGUCUGUGGAUGUUUAUAGUAUGGUUGAUACUCUCGAUGGUUAUGUGGCCUGUUUGUGAGCACUGUUUGAUUUGGUAUUGUUGUAUUGUUGAUUCAUUGGGUGUUUGAUUGUGUGAUAUGUAUUUGAAAAAGUGAAACUUUGUACUUACUUAUAUGUUGGUUGACUUGCUUCAUUUAUAUGUGUUUUAAACUUAGCUUACCAGAAUGGCUAGUUAUCAUUCUUUAAUAUUAUAAGAGAGCAUUUGAUUGUUAGCCCGAGAGUUUAGUGUGGGUUGUCUAUGAUUACGGGUUUGUUCCUGUGGAAUAUGAGUAUGAAAAAAAUAAGGUGAAUAAAGAGGAAUAGUGAUGUAUUAGUGUUGGAUUGUGGUUAAUUGUUUGAAUCAAUGAGGCUAGAGUAUGUUAGUAGUGAAUAUAAUAUUGAUGGAGUUGGAAGAGUAGUUGGAUGGUGUAAGUUAUAUAGGUAAAGUAAUAAUGUUAUUACAACCUUAGUUGAAUUCUAUUCCAUUCAAGAUGUCAUGAUUUAUUUUCCUUAAUUCUAUUUUAUGAUUAUAUGGACUAACACGGUCGGUCGAUGAUGUAUACCAGUACGUGUGGUUGUUCUGACCCUACUCUUUUACAUUCCUUCUUGGGGUGUAGACUGGAUGCAGGUUAUUUUGCAGUCACUAGAUGGAUGACAAUAUUCAGCACUAACUUUUGCACUUUCUUCCUGACAUAUGUUAGAGUCCUUGUAUUAUUUAUUUUACUGUCAGUCUAUGUUGUAAUAGGUAGCUCUUGUACAUGUCUGGCCAAGUUUUGGGAUAGUGAAGGACAUUUGUAAGAAGUUUUUUGAAGAAAUUUAUUUAUU
This 12386-nucleotide long non-coding RNA is filed under the name Capsicum annuum. RNAcentral describes it as "long non-coding RNA (CANN_LNC021895)". Lineage: Eukaryota; Viridiplantae; Streptophyta; Magnoliopsida; Solanales; Solanaceae. The record is from RNAcentral.